This 253-nucleotide ribosomal RNA is filed under the name uncultured bacterium. RNAcentral describes it as "partial 16S ribosomal RNA". It matches the Rfam family "Bacterial small subunit ribosomal RNA", at positions 524 to 776 of the family's 1533-position model. The record is from RNAcentral.
UACGAAGGGGACUAGCGUUGUUCGGAAUUACUGGGCGUAAAGCGCGCGCAGGCGGCUAUCCAAGUCAGUGGUGAAAGCCCGGAGCUCAACUCCGGAACUGCCAUUGAAACUGUUUAGCUUGAGGACGAGAGAGGUGAGUGGAAUUCCCAGUGUAGAGGUGAAAUUCGUAGAUAUCUGGAGGAACACCGGUGGCGAAGGCGGCAUCCUGGACCGACACUGACGCUGAGGAGCGAAAGCCAGGGGAGCAAACGGG